ACUGCGCAUGUGCAGGCUUAAUUCAGGAAGACGGCAGCAAAACAAACUUGUUGGCGCGGUUUUGAGAGGUGAGCGGUGAGCAAGAUGAAGUGGAGUUAGCCCAGUGGAGCAGAGAAGAGGAGAAGGCGAGAGGAAAACCAACAGUUUUUAUCAAAACUACCAAAGGUAUCAACCUUUUUCACGGUGGUGCCAAAUACAGGAGGACGACAGACAGAGCCAGAUGCUGCCGUCAGUAGCAGCUCAGCUGUCAGUCAGCCCUGGAGGAGAGAAAGUGGAAAGUGACGCAAGGGAUGCUUUUCACGAAGUUUAACACAGCAUGCAGGGAACUCCAGGCUGAACCUGCUCCUGCUGCCACACUGAAGACAUGUUGAGAUCCUUUGCAGCCAAUGACUAACUGAAGUUUGGAAGCAACUGACGUCACCAAAUACUGAGUACUGCUACACCAGGACUUUACUGCUGCCACCUUCAGUUGCUACUUGUGUUUUUGGAUCUUUCUGCCUUCAGUUUGGCUUCAGAUCAACUCCACCAUGACCCAGAAAAGGCAGCACUUCAGUCUUCAGAGACUUGCUCUGUGGAUCUUUGUGGAGAGAGACUCGUACUGAAGCAAGACAACUGGCCCAAACAGACGCCAAAACUUUAACUUGAAGACCAAGAGAUGCGGAUUUUCACUGGCGUUCCUUCACAGUCACAAAAUUUUACAUGUACCAUUUAUAAUAAAUGUGGGUAAUAAUAUAAAAAUAAAAGAUAAGAAAAAUG
Molecule: long non-coding RNA, 756 nt
Organism: Amphiprion ocellaris (clown anemonefish)
Lineage: Eukaryota; Metazoa; Chordata; Actinopteri; Pomacentridae
Exons: 4
Source: RefSeq, a predicted model, not a curated record